UACGGAGGGUGCGAGCGUUGUCCGGAAUCACUGGGCGUAAAGGGCGCGUAGGCGGCUGGGGAAGUCGGCGGUGAAAGCCCGGAGCUCAACUCCGGGUCGGCCGUCGAGACUCCUCGGCUCGAGCUCACUAGAGGCAGAUGGAAUUCCGGGUGUAGCGGUGGAAUGCGUAGAGAUCCGGAAGAACACCGGUGGCGAAGGCGGUCUGCUGGGGUGAGGCUGACGCUGAGGCGCGACAGCGUGGGGAG
This 245-nucleotide ribosomal RNA is filed under the name uncultured bacterium. RNAcentral's name for it is "partial 16S ribosomal RNA". It matches the Rfam family "Bacterial small subunit ribosomal RNA", at positions 524 to 768 of the family's 1533-position model. The record is from RNAcentral.